This 390-nucleotide long non-coding RNA is filed under the name Prunus persica (peach). RNAcentral describes it as "long non-coding RNA (PPER_LNC003624)". The record is from RNAcentral. Lineage: Eukaryota; Viridiplantae; Streptophyta; Magnoliopsida; Rosales; Rosaceae.
AUAAUGGUAGCUGUAUAAAAUCCUCAAUUUAGUUUAAAAGCAUCUCAGAACUUAAAUUCUCUCCACCUAGGCAUACCCCCAUUCCCUGAUUGGUCAAUUCCUUUAAUACCGUCAAUUCCAUUAUUACCGUCAAUUCCAUCCUCGUAGGCCUCAGAAACAAAAAGUUAACCGAGUCGCAUUUCUCGCAGGCCUUGGAGACAUCAAGUCAACCUGAGCCGCAUUCCUCGCAGGUCUCAGAAGACCAUUAGUCAACCUGAGCCGCAAUCCUCGCAGGUCUUAAGGGACCAUUAGUAAGCUUGAUAAGCAAUCCUCACAGGUCUUAGGGGACCAUUAGUCAGCCUAAGUCGCAAUCCUCCCAGGUCUCGAAGACAUCAAGUCAACCGAGCCGCA